This is a non-coding RNA of Triticum aestivum (bread wheat), 77 nucleotides long. NCBI's taxonomy places the organism in Eukaryota, Viridiplantae, Streptophyta, Magnoliopsida, Poales, Poaceae. The record is from Rfam.
AGGAGCCGUAUGAGGUGAAAAUCUCAAUUACGGUUCUGUAAAGGGACAUUAAGGGUGACUUAUUUGUCGACUUUUCC